Molecule: transfer RNA, 60 nt
Filed under: Urocitellus parryii (Arctic ground squirrel)
Lineage: Eukaryota; Metazoa; Chordata; Mammalia; Rodentia; Sciuridae
Also listed under: 2 other names
Description: Spermophilus parryii (Arctic ground squirrel) tRNA
Rfam family: tRNA
About the family: Transfer RNA (tRNA) molecules are approximately 80 nucleotides in length.
Source: Rfam by way of RNAcentral
UGUGGCUCAGCGUAGAGCACUUGCCUGGCAUGCAUGUAGCUCUGGGUUCAAACCCCAGUA